RNAcentral lists this long non-coding RNA (2986 nucleotides) under Triticum aestivum (bread wheat). RNAcentral's name for it is "long non-coding RNA (TAES_LNC005382)". Lineage: Eukaryota; Viridiplantae; Streptophyta; Magnoliopsida; Poales; Poaceae. The record is from RNAcentral.
UUGGCAUAUCAUCAUCUGAUGAAAGUGCAGCACUGCCGCUGUUUCCACACUAAGAAUACUCAUAACCUAUCCCAACCUGAGUGGAUAUAUAAAUUCAGAGGGAAAAUCACAAACUACACUAUACCGAUACAGCUAGAUAUCAAGAUUCUCAGGACACAAUGUCUAAACUAAAUUACCCAACAAAAAGUUUGAAUCAUGAAUAGAAUAUAGUUAACAUAACCCCCCGUGCAAACGGUCAUCACGUAUCAGCUAGUAAGAAAGGAGGGAACAAAUCUUGAUUAACAGAACAAUGGAGCACCAUCUUUAGAGAUUGUACAAACUGUAAAAAAAAAAGAAAUCGGUCAGAGUAAAAAAACAUGACUGGAUAUAUAUACAGCUGGAUAUCAAGAUUCUCUGGAGAAAUGCUUAAACUAAAAUACUAAUAAAAAACGAAUCAUGGGCCAUUCAAAAACAACUUCAUAUAGAUAUAUACCCAACAAAGAGUUUGAAUCAUGAAUAUGCAACGCACAUCGCUAACAUGACCCACCAUGCAAACGAUCAUCAUAAAUACCUUUGGAACCCACAACUCAACAUAAAGAUGACAAAGACAAACAUGUAUACCAAAUAGCAUCUGAAAACAUAUCAGGGAAGAUAAUUUUCUGGCAGAACCAAGCAUGCGUAUGAAACUAUCUAAAUAUAUGUGCUAAACAGCCACUGGAAACAUUGCUAUAGAACAGACCGGAUAAAGCAAUUUCCACACAGAACAAUCCAUGCAUGUUUGCACAACCAAUCAAACACAUGUAUAGCAUAGAUACUGACAAACAAUUAGUCUAGAAAGAUUAACUAUGCCGGAGCAAGUUGAUCAUGAAACUCCAUACCAAGACAUCUCCAGAUUUUUCCGGAAAUGAGAGUUCAGUAAGCUACUACCUUCAGCCUCCUAACUGAUUUGAGAGCAGCAUUUAUUAGUUUUUACAAACUUGAAAAAAAAACAUUAGGCACAUUUGAAUAAACAUUCAAGAGAAGGGAACUGCAAAACGAAAUUCAGUAAACAGAAACGUCGCUAUAGCUCAUGACUAAAUUGACUCUCUUUCAGCAAAAAGUAGGAAAGUGUAACCACCUUAGUAAAAAAAUAGAAUGAGCAUGCUACCAUGCCCUCGCGCAGGUUCAAGCUACAUUCGAAGAAGGGACGUCUAUUGAACAAAAACUGGGUCGAUAGUAUUUUGCAAUAGCUAACUAUGCAACUUUUCUCCACAAAUAUGAGAUAAUUUAAAUGGCAGGAUCAUGUUUGUUUUCCCCUUAUUUUCAGUUGGAUUGUAAUAACUCAGCAGCAAAGAGUACACCACCGUGGUUUAGUCUACCAAUCUGAUUCAAUUCAAGAAUGGGUAGCCUAUUCUCUUGUAUAUGUCAGUAAGCUCUUUUUUGUACUCAAGUCAAAACUAAGCAUAAAUAGCUACUCACCUACAUAAGUUGCUGUUGCACAUGCCCAUGUAUUUGGUGCGAGUUGAGGCCUCCUUUAAGUAACAUUAUGACCACUCUUCAUACCUACAAACACCAUCAAAGUAUGAAGUCAAAGCGAGGUGGAACCGUGUAAGGACUAAAGAAAGGCAAAGUGUCCGAUUCAUAAGCAAAGAGAGCAAGAGACCGAACUUUCAGAACAUUUAGGUUUAUUAGUAAGGAAAUAGUGGUAACAUUUUCUUAGUAAUUAAGCUCGAUGGAAAUAAAGGUACUUUUCAUGUAUGACGCCCAAAAAAAGUUUAAACAUCUUUUCCUUUUGCUGUACCAUGACCAUACCACAAUGUGAGCUGCAGACAGGGAAAAGUUCAGAUCCAAAAUCAUAUCUAAUAGAUAUGUUUGUACAUUAAGGAAAAGAAAAACAUUACUGGUAGCAUUCUGCAAAAACACAUUAAGAAAUGGAGCUUUUGGACCAGUGAAUUACACUGGUAUUCUCAAAAUACCACAUGUACAAUCUCACUGGUGAGAACCAGUGCAAGAUUAAGAAAUUAUCUAAGUCUAUAAGCUUUUUAUGAAUGAUGCUAGACUUAUUUUUUUAUUGCAAGAAUCAAUGCUAGCAGGCUGUUUCGUAGAGUUACUCAGCGGAAGAUGCCACAACCAAUAGAAAUUGGCAGUAGAUUUCAUCUAUGCCUGCUGCUCCAUCCUGCAGUAAUUAUUUAGAACAACAAAUAAGAUGAUUGUCAGAUUAGAGAAGGCACACUUCUUGCAUAAAAAAGAGAAGGCCACACUAAAGAAGCACGUUCCUAGUAUGUAUCUAUAAACAUAGAUAUGCUACUGAUAAAUAUAACUGAACUAUUUCCCAUAGGAAAAGGAAAACAUGCAUGUGGCUAGAAAGAAUAAGCAUGUAGCUAGAAAGAAAGGAAGCAAACAUCAAGUAGCAGGACAUAGUUACAGCAAAGUAGGAGCUCAAGAUGCAGCAACAAAGGAGAUCCUAGAACCAGCUAAAUAAACAGAGAUGAAGUAGUCAAAGCACACGCAUGAUGUGGAUCGGUGCACAGAGGUAAAAGAAUAGUCAUCCACAGACAAGCAAAAGAGCAAUCCAUUUACCCGAACUGGAAAGGAGAAGUAGGCUAGAUAAGGAGGAAAGACGGACCAUAAGGCCAAGGAUGAACAACAAGCAAAAUGAACUGAACGCAAAAAAGGUUAACAAAUAUGCAUUUCAUCAAACAUCUUGCAGAAAAGAAAAUGGAGCGUGGUGUCACCUCAAUUAAUCGCCGAAGGAAGAACGGAUGGCAAGAUAAUCAACCUACACACGAUGCGGACAGAAGGAAGAACACGAAAUCAGCAGGGCAUAGAAAAAAUAAGGGUACACGACAAGAUCAGGAAAGGAGAACGAAUCUCAACCAAUAGUCCCGUCCAGAGUAUGGACGACAUUGCAGCCGACGAGAGCACCACCGGUGAAGGAGAGGAAAUCCAAUCGAAGAGAGAGAGAGAGAGCGCAACACAACGAGGAGGAGAAAGAGAGCAAAGCGGUCAAAGCGAGAGCGCGGCCGAC